RNAcentral lists this long non-coding RNA (960 nucleotides) under Homo sapiens (human). RNAcentral's name for it is "HSALNT0399804". Lineage: Eukaryota; Metazoa; Chordata; Mammalia; Primates; Hominidae. The record is from RNAcentral.
AGGGAGACUAGCACAGGCCGGCAGAGAAGUGACCCAGCCCCGGAUUGCCUGGUAACCUUCCGUUCCCAGGAGGCUGCUGUGAGGCUCCUCUGGCUUCAUGGAGUAUAAUGGACCCACAGCCAUCUCCUUCCCCAACACCAACUCUGCCUGCAUUUUAGGCCAGGAAGUGAGAGUUCAGAGAGCAGAGACAACUGUCCAGAGCUAGACCUUGAAGACUCCUCAACGCUGAAGGUCACCGAGAGGAGGGACAGCCAAGGAAACUGAGUCGCAGCAGCCGUGGAGGCAGGCGGGCACUAGGAUCAAGUCAUCAAAGGUCCCAGGAGGCUGCCAGGCUGGCUGGACAGCCGAGGAGACAAGAGCUGCUCAGCUGACCCUGCCAGACUCCAGUGUGUCCAGCAAGCAGCAGCCACUUCCAGGCUCACGGGCACUCACUGGUGACAUGUGCACAGCCUCCAGCCUCUCUGAAGGCUCCUUACCCCUCUAAGUUCAGCUGAAGGGCUUAUUCAGGCUCUCCCCUAAUCAGGGCCCCUGCCACCAGCCUUUCCCCACCCUGCAACCCACCAGUGAUGGGUACAAAGACGUGCCAUCACUCCCACUAUCUGUAGAACAGCCCAGAACUGAUGAGGGUUUAAUGCUGUCCACAGCAAACCUCACCAAUAAGAGUUUGGCUUAUGUCCUCAGAUGAUUCUAACAGAAUGGAGUCCAGGCGCCCACACUAGCAACAGGCUUUUAAUGCAGCCACUGUUGGCUCCCCGUCUCCUGUCCCCCUUCCCCCUCCCCUCCCUUGUGCCUCGGAAUCACCUGACACAUAAACCUCCUGCGCCCAGAUCCUUGUCUCAGAACUGCCAUUCCAAGUCUCUCCCAGCCUUGAUCUCACCCCCCUGCUUCACUCAUAUGGCUCAUGCCUGUAAUCCCAGCGCUUUGGCAGACUGAGGCAGAAGAACCACUUGAGCCCAGGCA